CUCAGUAAACAAGCCAGCCACAACCUGUUUCGUGUUUCACAGGCCACUGCAUAUGUGGCUUAGGAAAAUGUUAACAGGGAGAUGUCAUCUCCACGACUGAAUGGCACAGUUUCUAUCCUGAAGGCAUGAGUGAUGGGAAGCAGUGGGGUGACAGAUGACGAGGCAACAGCAGCCCUAUUCUUAGGGUGUUCCCGUCUGGCAGCAGACAAGACAGGAGACAUGCACUGUGGAAGCUUUUCAGUUGGAGGUUUCUAGAGAUUAAAUCAGAACACAGAUAAAUUGAUCUUUGGAGGCUGCUGACAGAUUGACUGGGCUGAGGUGAUCUGAGGAAAAUGAUUGUAAAAUGCAAGUGUAUUGGUGGGAAUGCUGCUUGGACUGGAUAAGGAUGAGAUCGUUAGGAGAGAUGAUAUCCCCGAUAUCAGAGAGAUGAUAUCCCCGGCCUGGCUUAGGUGUGGAGUGACGGCUACUGCGCAGCCAGUGGGGAGUAUGAAGCAAGCUCAAGGUGGAGCCCGAGGGGGGAGCAACAUUAACCAUGGAGGGGGGAGCGAUGCUCUCCUCGAGGUCAGAGGGAGAACCAAUGUCCUCCAUGGAGCAAGAAGGGGGAGUGUUAUGAGGCAUGAAGCAAAGAAAUGGAGUGACGUCUUCAGCGGAACAUGGAGGCAGAAUGACGUCAUCAGCAGAGCAGGAUGGCGGAGCAACGUCCUCAGCCGAGCAGGAAGGCAAAGUGACAUCCUCAGCCGAGCAGGAAGGCGGAGCAACAUCCUCAGCUGAGCAGGAAGGCAAAGUGACAUCCUCAUCUGAGCAGGAAGGCAGAGCAACGUCCUCAGCCGAGCAGGGAGACGGAGCAACAUCCUCAGUGGAAUAGCAAAGCGGAGCAACGUCUGAAGAGAAGCCUGGUGUAGUGAUAUCCGAGGCAGAGCAGGGAGGCAAAGUUGAACAGGAAGGCUGAUAAAAAAAUAUAAUUACCUUGCAUUACAUCAAUAAUACAUAAUUCACAGUUCACGCUUAGAAAUAAUAGUUUCAUAAAGACAUAAAAUCUUAAUAUAUUACAAAAUUAAGAGCAAUUGUGUUUAACUGGAUAAUAAGUGGUGUUUCUCUGGCAUUAUUGCACUGUAGUCCAGUCGUAGAAGUGUAGUAUUAGUGCUAAAAUAAUUUGUGUAGUCAUUGAGCAUGUUUACAGCUUGGGGUCACAAACUGUUUCUAUGCAUUGUCUCUCUGCUUUGUGGGUCACUCUGUGGCACACCAUUAGGCUGUUUUGCCUCUGUUAUGCCAGAGGGGAGGAGCCCUUGUUAUCUGUGCAUGACUCUUUGAGAGUGGCCGUUGUGGUGAUGUCUCCAUGUUGGAAGUACGCUAAUUGUCUUUGUGUCCUGGUUCCGUGCUCCAGUCCCUGGCAGGUUACAAUGGUGCCCAGUGUUGCUCUCCCAGAACAAUCGCUCUCUGUCUCUGCUGGACCAGCACAGUCACUGUCAGUUCAGACUGUACACACUCUGCAGCAAUCGCAGAUACCAAGCGAUAGACCAGAAAAAUCCAAAACCAUAUAGACAAAAACAUUCCUGCACUCAUUUGUACACAUACCCAUUACACUGAUAUUCAUUUAUGUGCAAACAAAUUGGUACUAUGAUGAAUAAACACCAAAUGAGACAGUGAAACAUUGUCAAGUUUGCAUGCAAUAAAUCAGUGAAUAAUUCACCACAAGAUAUCAAUGCUAUUGGUAGCCUCUAAGAGCACUAUAUUGAUGCCAAUUCAGAUCCAUGUCUAUUCCGAUCCAUAUCACCCACUGAUAAUCUAAAACCCAUAGUUUCUAAACAGAGCCUGCUGAUGUAAGCAAAGAGGCUUGAAUGUGGAUAUCAAAUAAAUUGAUUAGAAACACUGCAGCCCAGUUUGAGGGUAUGGCUUGAUAAAAGGAAGCUAAAGCAAAGUCCUGUCUAAGGAAGGAAAACUACAUAAAUACAUCUUAGUUGUGUAAAUUACAGAACUUUAAAAUCUUUAAAGACUGAUAUUUAUAUUUGCACAGAUGACUAAAAAAGAGUUGGAUCUGACCUGCAGUCAAAGAGCUGAGAUGCUGUGGAUUCUGACACAGGGGAUCCCUCAAACUUUGUUUCCUCAGAAAUGCCCUUGAGCCCUUCUCAUUUAAACUUCAGCCCCUGUUAUGUGCCUUUUCAAUUAAGCCUGUCUUAAGAUAUACCUGUCUUUCCCUUUUCUCUUAUUUCUUGCUUUCUCUUUUUAUCCCUUUUCCUAACCAGUGUUGGGUAAGUUACUCAAAAAAAAGUAAUCCACUACAGACGACUAAUUACUACUUUAAAAUUGUAAUCUGAUUACAUUACUGAUUACUGCAUGUAAAAAAGUAAUCACAUUACUAAUUACUUUCAAGUUACUUUCAAAACCUUUCAAACCUACAAAAAUAACACUACAAACACUACAAAGUGAAACUCAGUUCUUUCAGUGAUUUUAGCGUGCGUCAAUGAUCGGAAAAAGUUGGAUUUAUCAUAAAACUUGCCUCGGGUGUUGUCACUGUUUGUAGGACUACCAGACUGAUAAAAUAGAAAACUUUUCUAACUAGACUAGUCUCGUGUCACUAACCAAGCAGAGGCACAGCUAAGCUAUUGUUGUAUGGGUUUAGCUGCUACAGUGCCAUGCAAAGUACAUUAUCUUUCCAUAUGCUAUGCUCAUAUCAUGUUUACGAAAACUGGAACUCAUAUAGACAUUUACACACCUUGUUUUCCUGCUCAGCAUGAGAGGAUGUUAGUGUUUCAGUUUCAACCCAUUUACU
Long non-coding RNA from Ictalurus punctatus (channel catfish), 2770 nucleotides. The record is from Ensembl. Lineage: Eukaryota; Metazoa; Chordata; Actinopteri; Siluriformes; Ictaluridae.